GGUCUAAGGCAAACCACCCUGAAAAGACCAGAUUCUACCUGAUCUCAGAAGUGAAGCGGGGUCAGACCUGGUUAUUGCUUGGGCGGGAGAAACCAGAGGCUCCUCCA
RNAcentral lists this ribosomal RNA (107 nucleotides) under Peromyscus maniculatus bairdii (prairie deer mouse). The record is from RNAcentral. Lineage: Eukaryota; Metazoa; Chordata; Mammalia; Rodentia; Cricetidae.